RNAcentral lists this transfer RNA (73 nucleotides) under Candidatus Dormiibacterota bacterium. RNAcentral's name for it is "tRNA-Thr". It matches the Rfam family "tRNA". From Rfam's summary of the family: Transfer RNA (tRNA) molecules are approximately 80 nucleotides in length. Their secondary structure includes four short double-helical elements and three loops (D, anti-codon, and T loops). Further hydrogen bonds mediate the characteristic L-shaped molecular structure. tRNAs have two regions of fundamental functional importance: the anti-codon, which is responsible for specific mRNA codon recognition, and the 3' end, to which the tRNAs corresponding amino acid is attached (by aminoacyl-tRNA synthetases). tRNAs cope with the degeneracy of the genetic code in two manners: having more than one tRNA (with a specific anti-codon) for a particular amino acid; and 'wobble' base-pairing, i.e. permitting non-standard base-pairing at the 3rd anti-codon position. RNAcentral also lists the same sequence under 2 other names. Lineage: Bacteria; Bacillati; Candidatus Dormiibacterota. The record is from RNAcentral.
GCCGACGUAGCUCAGUUGGUAGAGCAGAGCCCUCGUAAUGCUCAGGUCAGCGGUUCAAAUCCGCUCGUCGGCU